Molecule: ribosomal RNA, 253 nt
Filed under: uncultured bacterium
Lineage: Bacteria
Description: partial 16S ribosomal RNA
Rfam family: Bacterial small subunit ribosomal RNA
Source: RNAcentral
UACGUAGGGUGCAAGCGUUGUCCGGAAUUAUUGGGCGUAAAGAGCUCGUAGGCGGUCUGUCACGCCGGCUGUGAAAUCCCGAGGCUCAACCUCGGGUCUGCAGUCGAUACGGGCAAACUAGAGUAUUGCAGGGGAGACUGGAAUUCCUGGUGUAGCGGUGAAAUGCGCAGAUAUCAGGAGGAACACCGGUGGCGAAGGCGGGUCUCUGGGCAAUAACUGACGCUGAGGAGCGAAAGCGUGGGGAGCGAACAGG